Long non-coding RNA from Hirundo rustica (Barn swallow), 462 nucleotides. RefSeq lists it as uncharacterized. The record is from RefSeq and is a predicted model, not a curated record. The transcript has 3 exons. Lineage: Eukaryota; Metazoa; Chordata; Aves; Passeriformes; Hirundinidae.
CCUUUCUGUGGGAACACUGCUUCAACAAGACCACUUCAUCUGGACUGCUACCACCACCCACAGAGUAUCAGGAAUAAGAUUUCAUGAGAGAAAUGAAUCACCUUGGCUUUUAUUUGGGCUCCACAGCAUGUCCUCUUCCCUCAACACCAAUUCUGCCUUUGGGACUUACAUAAGAACAAACCACAUUGCCCUGCUCUCUGUCCUGCCCUAGGUGCUGCCAUCAAGUUUUUGAAGAAGUCAUCUUAUGUCUGCUCUAAAUAGAGGAUAUUCAGCUCCUUUGAUGGAUUUGGCAAGGAUAAGUGAAGCCAUCAUGUCAUUGACACUUUUUCAAAUAAUAACCCUCCUUGCUGACUUGAUGGAUUUGGAAGUUUCUGCCUUGAUAGUUAACAGAAAAUAUUUUGAAGUGCUCUUGCUCUUCUUCUCAUUUUAUUUUUUCCACACAUUUUAUGGCCCUGAGAAAUA